GACGAACGCUGGCGGCGUGCUUAACACAUGCAAGUCGAACGGAAAGGCCCUGCUUGCAGGGUACUCGAGUGGCGAACGGGUGAGUAACACGUGGGUGAUCUGCCCUGCACUUCGGGAUAAGCCUGGGAAACUGGGUCUAAUACCGGAUAGGAGCCAUUUUUAGUGUGAUGGUUGGAAAGUUUUUUCGGUGUAGGAUGAGCUCGCGGCCUAUCAGCUUGUUGGUGGGGUAAUGGCCUACCAAGGCGGCGACGGGUAGCCGGCCUGAGGGGGUGGACGGCCACCCUGGGACUGAGAUGCGGCCCCGUCUCCUACGGGAGGCCGAAGGGGGGAAUCUUGCCCAAUGGGCGCCAGCCUGAUGCAGCGACGCCGCGUGGGGGAUGACGGCCUUCGGGUUGUAAACUCAUUUCGCUAGGGACGAAGCUUUUUGUGACGGUACCUAGACAAGAAGCCCCGGCUAACUACGUG
Molecule: ribosomal RNA, 465 nt
Filed under: uncultured bacterium
Lineage: Bacteria
Description: partial 16S ribosomal RNA
Rfam family: Bacterial small subunit ribosomal RNA
Source: RNAcentral